RNAcentral lists this ribosomal RNA (465 nucleotides) under Vreelandella stevensii. RNAcentral describes it as "partial 16S ribosomal RNA". It matches the Rfam family "Bacterial small subunit ribosomal RNA", at positions 338 to 795 of the family's 1533-position model. The record is from RNAcentral. Lineage: Bacteria; Pseudomonadati; Pseudomonadota; Gammaproteobacteria; Oceanospirillales; Halomonadaceae.
CCUACGGGAGGCAGCAGUGGGGAAUAUUGGACAAUGGGGGCAACCCUGAUCCAGCCAUGCCGCGUGUGUGAAGAAGGCCCUCGGGUUGUAAAGCACUUUCAGUGAGGAAGAACGCCUGGUGGUUAAUACCCAUCAGGAAAGACAUCACUCACAGAAGAAGCAUCGGCUAACUCCGUGCCAGCAGCCGCGGUAAUACGGAGGGUGCGAGCGUUAAUCGGAAUUACUGGGCGUAAAGCGCGCGUAGGUGGCUUGAUAAGCCGGUUGUGAAAGCCCCGGGCUCAACCUGGGAACGGCAUCCGGAACUGUCAAGCUAGAGUGCAGGAGAGGAAGGUAGAAUUCCCGGUGUAGCGGUGAAAUGCGUAGAGAUCGGGAGGAAUACCAGUGGCGAAGGCGGCCUUCUGGACUGACACUGACACUGAGGUGCGAAAGCGUGGGUAGCAAACAGGAUUAGAUACCCCUGUAGUC